Molecule: ribosomal RNA, 465 nt
Filed under: Vreelandella stevensii
Lineage: Bacteria; Pseudomonadati; Pseudomonadota; Gammaproteobacteria; Oceanospirillales; Halomonadaceae
Description: partial 16S ribosomal RNA
Rfam family: Bacterial small subunit ribosomal RNA
Source: RNAcentral
CCUACGGGAGGCAGCAGUAGGGAAUAUUGGACAAUGGGGGGAACCCUGAUCCAGCCAUGCCGCGUGUGUGAAGAAGGCCCUCGGGUUGUAAAGCACUUUCAGUGAGGAAGAACGCCUGGUGGUUAAUACCCAUCAGGAAAGACAUCACUCACAGAAGAAGCACCGGCUAACUCCGUGCCAGCAGCCGCGGUAAUACGGAGGGUGCGAGCGUUAAUCGGAAUUACUGGGCGUAAAGCGCGCGUAGGUGGCUUGAUAAGCCGGUUGUGAAAGCCCCGGGCUCAACCUGGGAACGGCAUCCGGAACUGUCAAGCUAGAGUGCAGGAGAGGAAGGUAGAAUUCCCGGUGUAGCGGUGAAAUGCGUAGAGAUCGGGAGGAAUACCAGUGGCGAAGGCGGCCUUCUGGACUGACACUGACACUGAGGUGCGAAAGCGUGGGUAGCAAACAGGAUUAGAUACCCCAGUAGUC